AUGAAUUGGCUGAGAACUGGGGAAUCAAGUGAUGUUAUUAUCUAAAUAAUACCUCAUAUAUUUUUAUCUACUUACUCAUUUACCUGCUCCGUGUUACACGGACACUUUAACUAGGGUGGCAUGUCUGUGUUGGACAUGUUUGACACCUACGCUCAUUGGACACACUAUUAUGAUCAUUUUUCUUUCUUUAGUAGAAAAAAUUAUAUAAUUUUAAUUCAAAGUUGUUAUUAAAUAACAAAUAGGUAUUCUUAUAAAAGAUUUAAGAAGAAAAUUAAUAACAAGUAGAAAACUAAAAUUAUAUUUUAUAAAUGAAUUAACUAGGGUGGCAUGUCUGUGUUGGACAUGUUUGACACCUACGCUCAUUGGACACACUAUUAUGAUCAUUUUUCUUUCUUUAGUAGAAAAAAUUAUAUAAUUUUAAUUCAAAGUUGUUAUUAAAUAACAAAUAGGUAUUCUUAUAAAAGAUUUAAGAAGAAAAUUAAUAACAAGUAGAAAACUAAAAUUAUAUUUUAUAAAUGAAUAAUUUUAAAGAAUUUAAUUAAUGUGUCAGCAUGUCCAAUACUUGUAGUGUUGAACACAUGUGUCCUUGUCGGUGCAUCAUAACUUGUUCCUAUGUUACUUAGCUGCAUCCUCUUUGUUUUUCUAUCAUAGAGCC
This 655-nucleotide long non-coding RNA is filed under the name Olea europaea (common olive). RNAcentral describes it as "long non-coding RNA (OEUR_LNC013919)". Lineage: Eukaryota; Viridiplantae; Streptophyta; Magnoliopsida; Lamiales; Oleaceae. The record is from RNAcentral.